UUAAGUUAUAUGAUGAGUGCAUAGUUCAUCCGAUAUUAAUGACGAUUAACAAAAAAUGUCUUCGCCCCUAUCUGACACACAAUUUAU
Molecule: small nucleolar RNA, 87 nt
Organism: Folsomia candida
Lineage: Eukaryota; Metazoa; Arthropoda; Collembola; Entomobryomorpha; Isotomidae
Rfam family: Small nucleolar RNA snR60/Z15/Z230/Z193/J17
About the family: The members of this family belong to the C/D class of snoRNAs which contain the C (UGAUGA) and D (CUGA) box motifs. Most of the members of the box C/D family function in directing site-specific 2'-O-methylation of substrate RNAs.
Source: Rfam